This 250-nucleotide ribosomal RNA is filed under the name uncultured bacterium. RNAcentral's name for it is "partial 16S ribosomal RNA". It matches the Rfam family "Bacterial small subunit ribosomal RNA", at positions 796 to 1041 of the family's 1533-position model. The record is from RNAcentral.
CGCGCCCUAAACGAUGUAUGCUUGGUGUUGGGCCCGCAAGGGUUCAGUGCCGUAGGGAAUCUGAUAAGCAUACCACCUGGGGAGUACGAUCGCAAGGUUGAAACUCAAAGGAAUUGACGGGGGCCCGCACAAGCGGUGGAUCAUGUGGUUUAAUUCGAUGCAACGCGAAGAACCUUACCCGGGCUUGAAGUGUAAGUAGUACAGAGAUGAAAGUCGACGGACCCGUUAAGUCGGAUGCUUACAGAGGUGC